RNAcentral lists this ribosomal RNA (330 nucleotides) under uncultured eukaryote. RNAcentral's name for it is "partial 18S ribosomal RNA". It matches the Rfam family "Eukaryotic small subunit ribosomal RNA", at positions 1470 to 1796 of the family's 1831-position model. The record is from RNAcentral.
CCCUUAGAUGUUCUGGGCCGCACGCGCGCUACACUGAUGCAUUCAACGAGUCCAAAACCUGGUCUGAUAGGGCUGGGUAAUCUUUUGAAUGUGCAUCGUGAUUGGGAUAGAUGAUUGCAAUUCUUCAUCUUCAACGAGGAAUGCCUAGUAAACGCAAGUCAUCAGCUUGCAUUGAUUACGUCCCUGCCCUUUGUACACACCGCCCGUCGCUCCUACCGAUUGAAUGUUCCGAUGAAUACCAUGGACUGAGAGUAUGAAUGGGUUCGCCUAUUUCUGCUUCUCGGGAAGUGGAGUAAAUCUUAACAUUUAGAGGAAGGAGAAGUCGUAACA